Molecule: ribosomal RNA, 250 nt
Filed under: uncultured bacterium
Lineage: Bacteria
Description: partial 16S ribosomal RNA
Rfam family: Bacterial small subunit ribosomal RNA
Source: RNAcentral
UACGUAGGUGGCAAGCGUUGUCCGGAAUCAUUGGGCGUAAAGCGCGCGUAGGUGGCUUGUCAGGUCUGAUGUGAAAUCUUGGGGCUCAACCCCAAGCGUGCAUCGGAAACCGGCUUGCUAGAGUCCGGGAGAGGAGAGUGGAAUUCCUGGUGUAGCGGUGAAAUGCGUAGAUAUCAGGAGGAACACCGGUUGCGAAGGCGGCUCUCUGGAACGGUACUGACGCUGAUGCGCGAAAGCUAGGGGAGCGAAC